GUGGGGGAUAUUGCACAAUGGGGGAAACCCUGAUGCAGCGACGCCGCGUGAAGGAAGACGUACUUCGGUAUGUAAACUUCUAUCAGCAGGGAAGAAGAUGACGGUACCUGACUAAGAAGCCCCGGCUAACUACGUGCCAGCAGCCGCGGUAAUACGUAGGGGGCAAGCGUUAUCCGGAUUUACUGGGUGUAAAGGGAGCGUAGACGGUGAAGCAAGUCUGAUGUGAAAACCCGGGGCUCAACUCCGGGAUUGCAUUGGAAACUGUUUUACUUGAGUGCUGGAGGGGCAAGCGGAAUUCCGGGUGUAGCGGUGAAAUGCGUAGAUAUCAGGAAGAACACCGGUGGCGAAGGCGGCUUGCUGGACAGUAACUGACGUUGAGGCUCGAAAGCGUGGGGAGCAAACAGGAUUAGAAACCCGGGUAGUCC
RNAcentral lists this ribosomal RNA (425 nucleotides) under uncultured bacterium. Its description in RNAcentral is "partial 16S ribosomal RNA". It matches the Rfam family "Bacterial small subunit ribosomal RNA", at positions 354 to 796 of the family's 1533-position model. The record is from RNAcentral.